AAGCGGGGGCAACCCCGUGAGUAAAGUGGCGACCGGGUGAGUAACACGUGACUAACCUACCCUCUGGCGGGGAAUAACCUCGGGAAACCGGGGCUAAUACCGCAUAACAUCCGCGGGUGCAAUUCCUGCGGAUCAAAGGAGCAAUUCGCCGGAGGAGGGGGUCGCGGCUGAUUAGCUAGUUGGCGGGGUAACGGCCCACCAAGGCUUUGAUCAGUAGCCGGCCUGAGAGGGCGCACGGCCACACUGGAACUGAAACACGGUCCAGACUCCUACGGGAGGCAGCAGUGGGGAAUUUUGCGCAAUGGGGGAAACCCUGACGCAGCAACGCCGCGUGGAGGAUGAAGUCCCUUGGG
This 353-nucleotide ribosomal RNA is filed under the name uncultured bacterium. RNAcentral describes it as "bacterial SSU rRNA". It matches the Rfam family "Bacterial small subunit ribosomal RNA", at positions 71 to 422 of the family's 1533-position model. The record is from RNAcentral.